RNAcentral lists this long non-coding RNA (1180 nucleotides) under Triticum aestivum (bread wheat). Its description in RNAcentral is "long non-coding RNA (TAES_LNC005903)". The stretch from base 389 to 502 matches the Rfam family "MIR1120/MIR1122 microRNA precursor family". The record is from RNAcentral. Lineage: Eukaryota; Viridiplantae; Streptophyta; Magnoliopsida; Poales; Poaceae.
GGCUCGGUGUUUUAUUCUGGUGGAGGAUGUUGCCAUUUAAGACGGUAGGAUCACCGUGAUCUUAUUUUUCUUCUUCUGAUUCUUGUCAGUUAGGAUAAGUUUGUCAGAGACUGGAUGUUCAGUUUGUUGCGUAGAUUAGAUUUCCCUUGUUGAUGUUUUCAUCAUGUAAGAAGUUUCAACCUACUACAUGUUUGCAUCACCCCCUGGUCCCUAGUAUAAUCCUCUUCCCCACUUAGCCAAGUCAUCCUGGCCGUCUAUCUGGAGGUAUUUACCAAGCUGUUGUCACCUGAUGGAAACUGAAGACUAUGUAAACAGUAUAGUAUCAGACUAUCAGUACAAAUCUACAGACGCCUCUUCCAAUUUUGUGCCUCGUGUUACCUCUCUCUGUUUGUUACUCCCUCCGUCCCGAAUUACUUGUCGCAGGUAUGGAUGUAUCUAGAUGUAUUUUAGUUCUAGAUACAUCCAUUUCUGCGACGAGUAAUUGGAACGGAGGGAGUAGUUUCCAUCUGAUAUUUUUGCUAAACUGAUUUACCUGGGAAGGUUCGAGCAUUGACUCCAUAACCCUUUUUUUUAUAGAAAGGAAGCGAUGCCCCCAGCAUCUGCAUUGUUUGAUGUGCACAUCCAAUAAACUCUGUAACUAUGUUGCCAGAUUUUACGUUUGGAACUAGCUGAGAAUUUACAGCUUAAUCUUCGUCUGGGUGAGUAAUGAGAAUCAGAAUUACUGAUAUUAUUGUUUUCUUCGUAGUUAGCCGGAGCUGCUUAGAAGCCUCAUGUGUGAACCGAUCCCACAUAUAUCAGAACCAAUCACACGCUGAGAGAAGACAUUUAUUUGACAGCAGAAUAAAUAGGAGAGAACAAGUAAUCCUGAUGACUGGUAGCAACAAUUCGUAUCUAGUUGCUAGUGAAGAUUGUGCAGAAUUAGUCAUGUCUGUGUUAACUAUGUAUUGGUUGUAGCUGGGCUUGAUUUGUUGUUGGUUGACCAUACAAGCACUUACAUUUGGAGAUCAUCUUCAGUGUCAGAUUGUUGUCAUAUUCUGUCAAGCACUGGCACCGGCGCCGGCGUCAUAUUCUGUGUGCUAGUCUGGACAAAUCAUGAUUUUACUGGCUUAAUAGUUAUUGGCUGCUGCAUGAAUAGUUCUGAUCACUGUACCAGAAUACUGAAUCAGUUAUUAUGAGAGAA